RNAcentral lists this unclassified non-coding RNA (263 nucleotides) under plant metagenome. RNAcentral's name for it is "partial contains small subunit ribosomal RNA, internal transcribed spacer 1, and 5.8S ribosomal RNA". The record is from RNAcentral.
UUUCCGUAGGUGAACCUGCGGAAGGAUCAUUAUUGUAUAACCGAGGUGCGAGGGCUGUCGCUGACCCGAAAGGUCGUGCACGCCCGAGUGCCCUCACACACAUCCAUCUCACCCCUAUAUGCACCACCGCGUGGGUCCCUCUUUGGCUUGUUCGGAGGGGGGCUUACGUUUUCACACAAACUUUGUAUGCAGUGUAGAAUGUAUUUUUUGUUUUUGCGAUCACGCAAUCAAUACAACUUUCAACAACGGAUCUCUUGGCUCUC